This is a long non-coding RNA of Glossina fuscipes, 646 nucleotides long. RefSeq lists it as uncharacterized. NCBI's taxonomy places the organism in Eukaryota, Metazoa, Arthropoda, Insecta, Diptera, Glossinidae. The transcript is spliced from 4 exons. The record is from RefSeq and is a predicted model, not a curated record.
ACGUUCUUCUUCGAUUGUUUAACCUUUUGCAAGCGGUCUCAAAGAUUAUUCAACCUGGCUCUUUUGCUGUGCGACCAGCCUAUUGAUGGUAUUUACCAAUGGUCACUGAUCAUAGUAACAUCCCUAAAGCAUCGCUCAUGCGAGAAAAUAAUUUUCUUUCGUACCACAAUUUUACGGAACCUAGUAAUGGUUUUUUGGGUACGAUUCCCGUGAACGGGACUUCAAAAAGUUUCUGCUUCAUAUAUGUUGACAAGUUUAAUUUAAAGGACAAUACUAAUUCUGGUAGACGUCUGAUUGGACCGAGAGACAAUGUGGGACAUCCUGAACAAUUCUUGAGCGCGGAAUUUUAACAAUCAUCAACGGAUGGAACUGAGAGGGAAGAGAAAUCGUCUCUUAAAGAAAGAUAUCAUAUUGUCACAAAGAACUAUGUGAAACCAGCAAUGUCCGGAUUUUUAGUUGUGUCUAGCUUGAAAGAUGAGCAACAAUCGAAGGAUCAGGUUGAAGAACCCGAAUGGUUCAGCUGUGGCCCAACGUCAUGUUUGGGUACAAUCGAUCUGUGCGGUUUCGGAUGAUGACCACGAUCGAGAAAGUUUAUUGUCGAUAUCGAUAACGACAAGCUUAAAGAAAAUCACAUUCAAAAAGCUAA